CAAAUAACAACUAAGCUGUAAAAAGUAAUAGUUACAAACAAAAAUAAACAACGAAAGUGAUUUUAUAACCUUCGAACUCACGAUAGCUAAGACCCAAACUGGGAUUAGAUACCCCACUAUGCUUAGCCCUAAACUUAAAUAAUUCCAUAACAAAAUUACUCGCCAGAGAACUACAAGCCAGAGCUUAAAACUCAAAGGACUUGGCGGUGCUUUAUACCCACCUAGAGGAGCCUGUUCUAUAAUCGAUAAACCCCGAUAAACCUUACCACUCUUUGCCAACUCAGCCUAUAUACCGCCAUCUUCAGCGAACCCUAAAAAGGAACAAAAGUAAGCUCAAUUAUCCCCAUAAAAACGUUAGGUCAAGGUGUAGCCUAUAGAGUGGAAAGUAAUGGGCUACAUUUUCUACUUCAGAACAUACGAAAGCCCUUAUGAAACUCUGAGAGCCAAAGGAGGAUUUAGUAGUAAAUUAAG
Molecule: ribosomal RNA, 471 nt
Filed under: Sylvilagus floridanus (eastern cottontail)
Lineage: Eukaryota; Metazoa; Chordata; Mammalia; Lagomorpha; Leporidae
Description: partial 12S ribosomal RNA
Rfam family: Bacterial small subunit ribosomal RNA
Source: RNAcentral